ACGUAGGGAGCAAGCGUUGUUCGGAUUUACUGGGCGUAAAGGGCGCGUAGGCGGCGCGGUAAGUCACUUGUGAAAUCUCUGAGCUUAACUCAGAACGGCCAAGUGAUACUGCAGUGCUAGAGUGCAGAAGGGGCAAUCGGAAUUCUUGGUGUAGCGGUGAAAUGCGCAGAUAUCAGGAGGAACACCGGUGGCGAAGGCGGGUCUCUGGGCAGUAACUGACGCUGAGGAGCGAAAGCGUGGGGAGCGAACAGGA
Molecule: ribosomal RNA, 253 nt
Filed under: uncultured prokaryote
Description: partial 16S ribosomal RNA
Rfam family: Bacterial small subunit ribosomal RNA
Source: RNAcentral